GAUAGCUCAGCAGUGGAGCAUGAUACUCUUAAUCUCAAGGUCGUGGGUUCGAGUCCCAUGGGUGGUUGGCG
Podarcis lilfordi (Lilford's wall lizard) is the source of this 71-nucleotide non-coding RNA. Lineage: Eukaryota; Metazoa; Chordata; Lepidosauria; Squamata; Lacertidae. The record is from the annotation of a GenBank genome assembly.